This 484-nucleotide ribosomal RNA is filed under the name uncultured bacterium. Its description in RNAcentral is "bacterial SSU rRNA". It matches the Rfam family "Bacterial small subunit ribosomal RNA", at positions 57 to 524 of the family's 1533-position model. The record is from RNAcentral.
GCAGUCGAGCGGACCGAAGGGAGCUUGCUCCUUUAGGUUAGCGGCGGACGGGUGAGUAACACGUGGGCAACCUGCCCUGCAGACUGGGAUAACUUCGGGAAACCGGAGCUAAUACCGGAUAACACCGAAAACCGCAUGGUUUUCGGUUGAAAGGCGGCAUUAGCUGUCACUGCAGGAUGGGCCCGCGGCGCAUUAGCUAGUUGGUGAGGUAACGGCUCACCAAGGCGACGAUGCGUAGCCGACCUGAGAGGGUGACCGGCCACACUGGGACUGGGACACGGCCCAGACUCCUACGGGAGGCAGCAGUAGGGAAUCUUCCGCAAUGGACGAAAGUCUGACGGAGCAACGCCGCGUGAGUGAAGAAGGUUUUCGGAUCGUAAAGCUCUGUUGUCAGGGAAGAACAAGUACCGUUCGAACAGGGCGGUACCUUGACGGUACCUGACGAGGAAGCCACGGCUAACUACGUGCCAGCAGCCGCGGUAAU